AACGAACGCUGGCGGCAUGCCUAACACAUGCAAGUCGAACGAAGCCUUCGGGCUUAGUGGCGCACGGGUGCGUAACGCGUGGGAAUCUGCCCUUGGGUUCGGAAUAACAGUUAGAAAUGACUGCUAAUACCGAAUGAUGUCUUCGGACCAAAGAUUUAUCGCCCAAGGAUGAGCCCCGCGUCGGAUUAGCUAGUUGGUGAGGUAAAGGCUCACCAAGGCGACGAUCCGUAGCUGGUCUGAGAGGAUGAUCAGCCACACUGGGACUGAGACACGGCCCAGACUCCUACGGGAGGCAGCAGUGGGGAAUAUUGGACAAUGGGCGAAAGCCUGAUCCAGCAAUGCCGCGUGAGUGAUGAAGGCCUUAGGGUUGUAAAGCUCUUUUACCCGGGAUGAUAAUGACAGUACCGGGAGAAUAAGCCCCGGCUAACUCCGUGCCAGCAGCCGCGGUAAU
RNAcentral lists this ribosomal RNA (451 nucleotides) under uncultured bacterium. RNAcentral describes it as "bacterial SSU rRNA". It matches the Rfam family "Bacterial small subunit ribosomal RNA", at positions 29 to 524 of the family's 1533-position model. The record is from RNAcentral.